CCUACGGGGGGCUACAGUGAGGAAUAUUGGUCAAUGGCCGGAAGGCUGAACCAGCCAAGUCGCGUGAGGGACGACUGCCCUAUGGGUUGUAAACCUCUUUUAUAAGGGAAGAAUAAAUGCUACGUGUAGCAUGAUGCCUGUACCUUAUGAAUAAGCAUCGGCUAACUCCGUGCCAGCAGCCGCGGUAAUACGGAGGAUGCGAGCGUUAUCCGGAUUUAUUGGGUUUAAAGGGUGCGUAGGCGGACUGGAAAGUCAGCGGUAAAAUCGAGAGGCUCAACCUCUUUCCGCCGUUGAAACUGUCGGUCUUGAGUGGGCGAGAAGUAUGCGGAAUGCGUGGUGUAGCGGUGAAAUGCAUAGAUAUCACGCAGAACUCCGAUUGCGAAGGCAGCAUACCGGCGCCCGACUGACGCUGAGGCACGAAAGCGUGGGUAUCGAACAGGAUUAGAUACCCUUGUAGUC
This 459-nucleotide ribosomal RNA is filed under the name uncultured bacterium. RNAcentral's name for it is "partial 16S ribosomal RNA". It matches the Rfam family "Bacterial small subunit ribosomal RNA", at positions 338 to 795 of the family's 1533-position model. The record is from RNAcentral.